Molecule: long non-coding RNA, 357 nt
Organism: Sinocyclocheilus rhinocerous
Lineage: Eukaryota; Metazoa; Chordata; Actinopteri; Cypriniformes; Cyprinidae
Exons: 3
Source: RefSeq, a predicted model, not a curated record
CGCUGUGAACGACACAGUUCCUGUCAAAAGUCUUGUAUUGCUUCUAGAGACCCCUACUGCGGCUGGAUGUCACAUGGAGCUUGUGAGCGUAUUCCUGCAGCUAUACAAACUGGUUAUGAGCAAGAUGUUGAAUACGGCAACAUAGCUCACCUCGGCGAUUGUCAUGGUGAGCUCAUCAACACGUGCCCCUUUUAAAAAAAAAUAGUUAGUAGUUGUGACGUCAAUAACCCCCUCACACUCUCAGCAGAUGGAAAUUAACACAUAUCACACAAACAUCAUACUAAUUCCUCUGACAAUUAAACACUCACACAUACGUUGUGUAGGCCUUAACAUUAUAGAAAGUGAAAGAGCGAUACA